AGUGAACGCUGGCGGUAGGCCUAACACAUGCAAGUCGAACGGCAGCACAGUAAGAGCUUGCUCUUACGGGUGGCGAGUGGCGGACGGGUGAGGAAUACAUCGGAAUCUACUUUUUCGUGGGGGAUAACGUCGGGAAACUUACGCUAAUACCGCAUACGACCUACGGGUGAAAGCAGGGGAUCUUCGGACCUUGCGCGAUUGACUGAGCCGAUGUCUGAUUAGCUCGUUGGCGGGGUAACGGCCCACCAAGGCGACGAUCCGUAGCUGGUCUGAGAGGCUGAUCAGCCACACUGGAACUGAGACACGGUCCAGACUCCUACGGGAGGCAGCAGUGGGGAAUAUUGGACAAUGGGCGCAAGCCUGAUCCAGCCAUACCGCGUGGGUGAAGAAGGCCUUCGGGUUUUAAAGCCCUUUUGUUGGGAAAGAAAAGCAGCAGGUUAAUACCCCGCUGUUCUGACGGUACCCAAAGAAUAAGCACCGGCUAACUUCGUG
RNAcentral lists this ribosomal RNA (492 nucleotides) under uncultured bacterium. Its description in RNAcentral is "partial 16S ribosomal RNA". It matches the Rfam family "Bacterial small subunit ribosomal RNA", at positions 29 to 507 of the family's 1533-position model. The record is from RNAcentral.